GACGAACCGUCCAAACGUUAUUCGGUAUCACUGGGCUUAAAGCGUGCGUAGGCGGCUUAGUAGGUGAGGUGUGAAAUCCCUCGGCUCAACCGAGGAAUAGCGCUUCAAACCACUAGGCUUGAGGGAGACAGGGGUGAUUGGAACAGUUGGUGGAGCGGUGAAAUGCGUUGAUAUCAACUGGAACACCGGUGGCGAAAGCGAAUCACUGGGUCUUUUCUGACGCUGAGGCACGAAAGCUAGGGGAGCGAACGGG
RNAcentral lists this ribosomal RNA (253 nucleotides) under uncultured bacterium. RNAcentral describes it as "partial 16S ribosomal RNA". It matches the Rfam family "Bacterial small subunit ribosomal RNA", at positions 524 to 776 of the family's 1533-position model. The record is from RNAcentral.